UGGAUCCAGACUUUGAUUCUGGCUCAGGAUGAACGCUAGCUACAGGCUUAACACAUGCAAGUCGAGGGGCAGCAUGGCGGUUGCUUGCAACCGCUGAUGGCGACCGGCGCACGGGUGAGUAACGCGUAUCCAACCUUCCCCCUACCCGGGUAUAGCCCGCCGAAAGGCGGAUUAAUCCCCGAUACGUCCCCUGACGGCAUCAGGCGGGGACGAAAGGUUUUCCGGUAAGGGAUGGGGAUGCGUCCGAUUAGCUUGUUGGCGGGGCAACGGCCCACCAAGGCGACGAUCGGUAGGGGUUCUGAGAGGAAGGUCCCCCACAUUGGAACUGAGACACGGUCCAAACUCCUACGGGAGGCAGCAGUGAGGAAUAUUGGUCAAUGGGCGGAAGCCUGAACCAGCCAAGUAGCGUGCAGGAUGACGGCCCUACGGGUUGUAAACUGCUUUUUUGCGGGAAUAAAGCGGCUCACGUGUGAGCCUUUGCAUGUACCGCACGAAUAAGGACCGGCUAAUUCCGUGCCAGCAGCCGCGGUAAUACGGAAGGUCCAGGCGUUAUCCGGAUUUAUUGGGUUUAAAGGGAGCGUAGGCCGCCUUUUAAGCGUGCUGUGAAAUACCGUUGCCCAACAACGAGGCUGCAGCGCGAACUGGAGGGCUUGAGUUCACGGGAAGCCGGCGGAAUUCGUCGUGUAGCGGUGAAAUGCUUAGAUAUGACGAAGAACUCCGAUCGCGAAGGCAGCCGGCUGUAGUGUUACUGACGCUGAAGCUCGAAAGUGCGGGUAUCGAACAGGAUUAGAUACCCUGGUAGUCCGCACGGUAAACGAUGGACGCCCGCUGUGCGCCCUUUAGGGUGCGCGGCCUAGCGAAAGCGUUAAGCGUCCCACCUGGGGAGUACGCCGGCAACGGUGCAACUCAAAUGAAUUGACGGA
Molecule: ribosomal RNA, 923 nt
Filed under: uncultured Bacteroidota bacterium
Lineage: Bacteria; Pseudomonadati; Bacteroidota
Description: bacterial SSU rRNA
Rfam family: Bacterial small subunit ribosomal RNA
Source: RNAcentral